GCUGAUCUGUGGUACAAAACAUACUUAGGUAGGGAACCAAACAGCCCUGUAACUAUAGGACUAAAUAGAACAGUUAGAGUUAAGUUCCACACCAGAAGGAUUUCCCAGGGAGCUGGUAGCCCUCGUAAUGUUUUGCAGCAAAAAUAAUAGUCUCCUGUGGUAUUUAAAAGGCUAGCAAGUUCUAUUUGGUCCACGCUGGCUGCAGACCGCAAGGGCUUUCAAAGAAAAUAAAAUGUGUUGCUUUUUGCAGUGCCACAAAACUCCUGCUGUUUUGCAGCAGAAGUAGUGAAGUUCAUCUUUGUUGCAUCACAAUCAGAAUGCCACGUUAAUUAUGCCUCCAUAAUAAGGUAAGUCAUUAUUGGUCACGAUUUUCUUCCAAUCUCUUAUUUAAAUGUUGCAAUGCCGGAGUGUGACCAACCAAAUGUCCAAGAUAAUUUGGCAGCAGCACACCUGAGUGGCUUCGCUUGGUAAACACAAGUCCAAAAGUGAGGGGAAGGAGCAAGGUUUAAAGUCCCACAGAAAGGGCAAUGAGAAAGAGCAAACGACCCACCAUCCCUUCACUACUGACCAUCAACAAAAGGGGUAAGGUAAGAGUGAAGUCAAACGUAUACUCCACUGACGGGCAGACAAGAAAUGGUGAUGGUGGCGGCGGCUGAUUUUCAGCAGGAGCAUUAUGACUUCUGCUUCAGUGAAGAGCCAGUUCUAACUUCAGCAACAAAGCAGAAAACAAGCAGGAGCCAAUCUAAAAUGAAGCAUCCACUGCAGCAUCCACGUCCAUCUAACAUAGAAAUCACAUGUAUAAGAGAUUCCAAUGCCUGUCCUAAUGUUGAGCAUCCAAAACAUUUCAUGGUGCCUGAACUAUCUCAGUUCUUCAUAAUGGAUGAAGGUAGGUUCAAGGGUAGCUGAAGUACUGUCUCUGUUUAAACAAAAAUGAAAAUGUAAAGAAGAUUUCCAAACAAAGGCAGAUUAAAAACGGACUCUUAACCACCAAAUGCUAUCAUGAUCUUAUCACUCUCCAAUCUGAUGCUGAUGAAUUUAUUUUCAGACUAAGAUGUUUCGGUCAUAAAUGUAGAAAAAUGUUCAGUAUUUUUGGAGGGAGGCACACAGAAAAAUUCCACUGAAGCUAGGGUUUCCCCACACUAUCCUGAGUUCCAAUCAUCCUAUAGAUCAGUGGUUCCCAACCUUGGGCCCCCAGGUGUUCAUGGGCACUCCCAGAAAUCCUGGCCACCUUAGCUGCCGGUGAAUUUGCCCAAUGAACCCAAGGCAGGGGUACCUUUGCCAAACUUGUCGGCCAGGCCUGGGGAAUUCUUUGGCCUCUAUGUUUUGUUUUUUGAACUUUAACUGCUAUCAUCCACACCUAGAAAGGAAGGGAGGAUGGGAGUUGAGAUCCAAGAUAUCUAGAAGGUCAGAAUUUCCCACCCUGUCAUACACUGCAAUGCACGUGCUUGAGAAGCAACUCCAGGGAUUUCUAUAUAUGUAAAACGGAGUCUAGACCAAGAAGAAUGUUUUAAAACACACAGAGCACUUUUUCACAAAUUGAUUCAUUUUGCCUACAAAGAUUCCCACCGUUAACCCAAUCCAGAACACUGAGAUCCGCUGCACUCAUCAAAUCCACAGCCUGCCCAGAUCACAGAAGUAACUUAUCGGAGGUAAUGUGACCUUACCUGUAACGCUUCGUGCGAGUGUUACCAGGGCAAGCCUUUUGUGGAGCAAUGCCGCGAUUACGUCAUAUUUCUAUUAUUACAAGUUACCUGUGGCCAGUAUAACAUUAUACUAAACCUAUAACAACAUUCACUUGUUGUGUUAGUGUUGCUGUUUUUUAAAUAUCUUUUGUGUCCACUGUUUUAAUCCCCCCCCCAAAAAAAAGAGAACAAGGAAGCAAAGGGAGACCAGAUGACUGAAGGAAACUUCCCACAUAGAAUGAAACUUAAUACAAAUGAAAAUACUAUGAAUUGGCAUUAACUGCCGGCACAGAUUUUUAACAGAAAAAGCCAGCCGCAUUGCAAUGUGUAUUUCCUCCCAUGGGUGACAGCCCUGAACAUAGGCAGCGGGUGACCAAGGAAGAAGAGGCAGCGCACAGACCAUCCUUGGCCCUUCAAGGGAUGUUGAUAGGAAAGGCCGAAGGGACAAGAAACUAAAGGAAGGGGGUGGGACGGAGCAAGGGAGGAAGCCAAGAACCUUCCCGGAGGGACGGGGCUCGGAAGGCGAAGGAUUGGGGCUCCUGUGCCUUUAAGAGCGGCGCCGAAUUGGGUCCGUAGUGGCUUCUGGUGGAGCUGAAAUGACAUAUCUCGGCUAUCCAGUGGGAGCCACAGAAGGCCAAAAAUAGUGGANNNNNNNNNNNNNNNNNNNNNNNNNNNNNNNNNNNNNNNNNNNNNNNNNNNNNNNNNNNNNNNNNNNNNNNNNNNNNNNNNNNNNNNNNNNNNNNNNAAAGUUACUGACUGGGGGUCGGGGAUCGGGGGGGGGGGAGGAAGACUCACUUUCCUGAAAAAAAUUUCAGCACACGCAGGGCUCCGGGCACCGAUUGCCUCCUACCGCUCUCGCCUUUGAAGCGCUGCGUCAUCGUCAUCAUCAUCCUCAUCGCCGUCGCUGCCGCCGCCGCCAGGGCAGUUUCUCAUCGCCUUUGCCAGCCAGCGGCCAGACGCUGGGGUGAAAUCGACAAAAAAAGCUGGAAUCCGAGCCUCUCUAGACUGAGGCACUUGAGCAAAAAGCAAACAGAGCUGGCAGCGGAGUUCGCCGAAAGCAAACAUUCUUCGCAGGAGAUACAAGUUGGGGGAGGGGGAGAAUCCCACAGGGGUUCGGUUGGCACCAGAGACGCCGUAUUGGGAUCACACAUACACUACACAUAGAAAUGUAAUUCUGCUUCUGUUUCUAUAUAUAUUUAAUAAACAAACACUGUAACAUAAAUAAACCA
This 2911-nucleotide long non-coding RNA is filed under the name Pogona vitticeps (central bearded dragon). RNAcentral's name for it is "lncRNA (ENSPVIG00000001098.1)". Lineage: Eukaryota; Metazoa; Chordata; Lepidosauria; Squamata; Agamidae. The record is from RNAcentral.